Molecule: ribosomal RNA, 301 nt
Filed under: uncultured bacterium
Lineage: Bacteria
Description: partial 16S ribosomal RNA
Rfam family: Bacterial small subunit ribosomal RNA
Source: RNAcentral
CAGCCGCCGCGGUAAUACGUAGGGUGCGAGCGUUAAUCGGAUUUACUGGGCGUAAAGCGUGCGCAGGCGGCCCGUUAGGACAGGUGUGAAAUCCCUGGGCUCAACCUAGGAAUUGCGCUUGUGACUGGCGGGCUCGAGUACGGUAGAGGGGGGUGGAAUUCCUGGUGUAGCAGUGAAAUGCGUAGAGAUCAGGAGGAACACCGAUGGCGAAGGCAGCCCCCUGGGCCUGUACUGACGCUCAUGCACGAAAGCGUGGGGAGCGAACAGGAUUAGAGACCCCGGUAGUCCCUGUCUCUUAUAA